Molecule: ribosomal RNA, 468 nt
Filed under: uncultured bacterium
Lineage: Bacteria
Description: partial 16S ribosomal RNA
Rfam family: Bacterial small subunit ribosomal RNA
Source: RNAcentral
GACGAACGCUGGCGGCGUGCUUAACACAUGCAAGUCGAACGGAAAGGCCCUGCUUUUGUGGUGUGCUCGAGUGGCGAACGGGUGAGUAACACGUGAGUAACCUGCCCUUGACUUUGGGAUAACUUCAGGAAACUGGGGCUAAUACCGGAUAGGAGCUCCUGCUGCAUGGUGGGGGUUGGAAAGUUUCGGCGGUUGGGGAUGGACUCGCGGCUUAUCAGCUUGUUGGUGGGGUAGUGGCUUACCAAGGCUUUGACGGGUAGCCGGCCUGAGAGGGUGACCGGCCACAUUGGGACUGAGAUACGGCCCAGACUCCUACGGGAGGCAGCAGUGGGGAAUAUUGCACAAUGGGCGGAAGCCUGAGGCGGCAACGCCGCGUGCGGGAUGACGGCCUUCGGGUUGUAAACCGCUUUCGCCUGUGACGAAGCGUGAGUGACGGUAAUGGGUAAAGAAGCACCGGCUAACUACGUG